CCAUGCUACAUUGGAACUGCACACCCUACGAAGGACCACAGGACCAGGUUGGAAGAACACUGGACUUGUCCACUAUCAACCAGACCAAGUAGGGUCUCUCUUGCAUGAGAUUUGAUUCAUGCAGAACAAGCCUGGAUGAACAGAUCUCACAGUAAAGGGAUUGACUAGCCACCCUGCUGUGCUGAGACAGGGGUGCACAUCUCUAUCCUGCUGAUACCCCACACCAUGCUUUUUACUGCAAGGACUUGAGCCAUAGGACCAUGCCUCAGGACUACCUGGCAUGAUGACUCCUUGCUGUCCACAGUCCACCUGGCCGUGCUGCUGCUCCAGUUUCAACUGUUCUGCCUGCGGCUAUAGAAUCCUGACCUGUUCACCGGACGUGCUACCUGUCCCCGACCUAUUAUUUGACCAUGCUGGUCAUUUAUGAACAUUUGAACGUCUUGGCCAUGUUCUGUUAUAAUCUCCACCCGGCACAGCCAGAAGAGGACUCGCCACGCCUCAUAGCCUGGUUCCUCUCUAUGUUUCUUCCUAGGUUUUGGCCUUUCUAGGGAGUUUUUCCUAGCCAACGUGCUUCAACACCUGCAUUGCUUGCUGUUUGGGGUUUUAGGCUGGGUUUCUGUACAGCACUUUGAAAUAUCAGCUGAUGUACGAAGGGCUAUAUAAAUACAUUUGAUUUGAUGAUUAAAGCAGGGGUCUCCCAAUAUUUUCUAGCAUGAGAUCUGCUUCAAAAAGGCAUGUUUUUCUCUUCUCACCUACGCUGCAACUCUUCCGAGUCCUUGGUGUACAAGAGAUGUGUUUUCUGUCAAUAUACCUGGCAAAACAAUGGUUAAUAAACAACAUCUAAGGGGGCUCAA
Long non-coding RNA from Oncorhynchus masou masou (cherry salmon), 854 nucleotides. RefSeq lists it as uncharacterized. The record is from RefSeq and is a predicted model, not a curated record. NCBI's taxonomy places the organism in Eukaryota, Metazoa, Chordata, Actinopteri, Salmoniformes, Salmonidae. The transcript has 3 exons.